GACGAACGCUGGCGGCGUGCCUAACACAUGCAAGUCGAACGAAGAAUGUUUUUCGGAAUAUUCUUAGUGGCGGACGGGUGAGUAACGCGUGAACAAUCUGCCCCGUACAAAGGGAUAGCCUCGGGAAACCGGGAUUAAAAACCAUAUAACACUUAACUGCCGCAUGGUAGUGAAGUCAAAUCGAUUAAGAGGUAUGGGAUGAGUUCGCGUCUGAUUAGCUAGUUGGUGAGGUAAGGGCUCACCAAGGCGACGAUCAGUAGCCGGCCUGAGAGGGUGAACGGCCACACUGGAACUGAGACACGGUCCAGACUCCUACGGGAGGCAGCAGUGGGGAAUAUUGCACAAUGGAGGGAACUCUGAUGCAGCGACGCCGCGUGAGUGAAGAAGGCCUUCGGAUUAUAAAGACUCUGUCUGGAGGGACGGAACAAAAUGAACGGUACCGUCCGGAGGAAGGCCACGGGACUAACGUAACGUG
Molecule: ribosomal RNA, 475 nt
Filed under: uncultured bacterium
Lineage: Bacteria
Description: bacterial SSU rRNA
Rfam family: Bacterial small subunit ribosomal RNA
Source: RNAcentral